UAAAAAACUGAAUAAAUAUAGAUUUACACACAUUUACUCAAGUAAAUAAACAGAAUUAAAAAUGGGCUAAAAAUCAGCGGAAUUCUGUGUGCGUAGAUUCCGGGUUUGUCUACUGAUAUUAUAAUUAUGUAAUGUAUAUGCAUAUUUCCACCUGCGUAAUAUUACUUGUCUCCACCCUUCUAUCACAACCAAUAACACAACAUUUCUCAUCCAUGCAUUAGUUACUUCACCACUUGACUGCUGUAAUGUACUUCUCUCUGGGCUUCCUUCUAAACUUCUCCAAAAAACUCCAACUGGUUCAGAGCCAUGCAGCUCGUUUCAUUUCUAGGACUUUAUCUCAUGAGCACAUCACACCACUUCUUUAUCAGCUUCACUGGCUUCUGAUCAGCCAACUCUUUCUCCCUGGUGCCACCUCGCAUUCGAUUAAGCACAAUGGGUGCUAGAUCUUUUAGCUCCUUGGCUCCUCGGAUAUGGAACUUCUUUCCCCUGAAUCUAAGGAGCAGUGAUAGUCUUCACACAUCUUUCAGUCAGUCAGGCUUUCUGACUUUUUUUUAUCAUGUUAUUUUUCACUUGCGAUGUGUUUGUACCUGCAACUCCUUAUAAGCAUUUAAAAUCUUGUUUGGCAACUUUUUAUUAAUUGUUUUAAUUUGUUCUGUUAUGGCUGUCGAUGCUUGUUGUAAAGUGACUCUGGGUGUCCAGAAAGGCGCCAUUUACAAAUAAAAUGAAUUAUCAUUUUA
Danio rerio (zebrafish) is the source of this 737-nucleotide non-coding RNA. NCBI's taxonomy places the organism in Eukaryota, Metazoa, Chordata, Actinopteri, Cypriniformes, Danionidae. The record is from RefSeq and is a predicted model, not a curated record.